Molecule: RNA transcript, 4257 nt
Organism: Tachysurus vachellii
Lineage: Eukaryota; Metazoa; Chordata; Actinopteri; Siluriformes; Bagridae
Gene: arhgap17b
Gene name: Rho GTPase activating protein 17b
Exons: 22
Source: RefSeq, a predicted model, not a curated record
UAGGUGUCGAAUGUCAGUGCGCGUCUCGCGCUGCUGGAAGCUUCAGCAGUAGGGAAGUGAGAAGCACUUCCUACUUCCUCACGCGCUGUUGUUCAGAGGGCCGAAUGCGGAAAACGAUGUAGUUCUGAACAACUUUUUAGGACCAAACAGCUAGACAUUUGAGGCAGAGCAGCGGGGAAUGAGCGUGAAGGAGAGAAACUGCGGGUUGAAGCUGGCCGAGCGGCUCGGAUGGCUGCGCGCGCGCGUGCGGAGCGGAGCUGAGUGACGAGGCGACUUCACACACCGGGCCUCGAGACCCUUAAACUUUAACACGGAGAACUAAACUAAACAAAACAAGGCGUCGACAUGAAGAAGCAGUUUAAUCGUGUGAAGCAGCUCGCCAACCAAACGGUUGGAAGAGCGGAGAAAACAGAAGUCUUAAGUGAUGACCUUCUACAGAUUGAGCGCCGCAUGGAGAUUGUGCGGUUGGUCUCGCAUAAUGCCUACAAGAAGUUGGCAUCAUGUAUGCAGGGCCAUGUUGGAACAGAUGUGGAAAAGAGACACAAAAAGCUGCCUCUGAUGGCCCUCUCUCAGGCCAUGGUGGAUGGAGGCACUCAGUUAGGAGAAGAGUGCAUGAUUGGAAAGAUGAUGGAGGUGUGUGGAGAAGCUGAAAGUAAGCUCGCCUAUGAGCAGAGCCAGCAUGAAGUCCAGCUUGAAAGGGAAGUCCUGGAACCACUUAACCAGCUAGCAGAGUUUGACAUUCCUAAUAUUAUGAAGCAGAGAAAGCAGCUAGCUAAGCUUGUACUGGACUAUGAUUCUGCAAAGGCGAGAUAUCACCAGGCCAAUAAAGCAAUUCUCACAGCUACAAACAACCAGGCAAUGGCUGCUAAAGCAGACUCCUGUAAAGAAGAGAUGGAUGAAGCCCACAACAAAGUGGAGAUAUGUAAGGAUCAACUGGCUGCUGAUAUGUACAACUUCUCCUCCAAGGAGGGAGAAUAUGCACGUUAUUACGUCAUGUUGUUAGAGGAACAAGCUGAAUACCACAGACGCUCUCUGGCUUGCAUUGAAUGCGUCCUUCCUGCUAUCAGAUCACAGCAAGACACAUGGAUGGAGAAGCCAGCAUUUGGUACAGCACUUGAGGAGCACCUUAAGCGCAGUAACCGAGAGAUUGCUCUGCCUAUAGAGGCCUGUGUGAUGAUGCUGUUGGAAACAGGCAUGAAAGAGGAGGGAUUAUUUCGUAUUGCUGCAGGAGCCUCUAAACUAAAGAAGCUCAAAGCAGCAUUGGAUUGUUCAACUUCUCAGCUGGAGGAGUUCUACUCAGACCCUCACGCUGUAGCUGGAGCCCUGAAGUCAUACCUGAGGGAGUUGCCUGAACCACUGAUGACCUUCCAGAUGUAUGAUGAGUGGAUUCAAGCCUCAAAUGUUGCUGAUCCAGAUAAAAGACUGCAAGCAUUGUGGGUGACGUGUGACAGUUUGCCAAAGGCCAACAAGGCUAACCUGAAAUAUCUGGUGAAGUUUCUGGCCAAGCUAGCUCAGGAGAGUGAUGUCAAUAAGAUGACCCCAAGCAACAUCGCCAUUGUACUGGGACCAAAUUUGCUGUGGGCCAAAACUGAGGGGACUCUUGCUGAAAUGGCAGCUGCUACUUCAGUCCAUGUGGUGGCGAUUAUUGAGCCCAUCAUCCAGCAUGCUGACUGGUUUUUCCCAGAAGAUGUGGAAUUCAAUGUGUCAGGAGUGUUUGUGAUGCCCACUGGCCCCAUGCACCAGUCUGGACACACUGUUACCACCGAGCCUGAAUAUGCCACUAUAGAGCGGAGGCGCCCGGGCAGCCUGGGGGGAUUGGAACCCGAGACUCCCCGCAAAGACAGCCUCACUAGCAAACAUCCGGAGCAUGCACCUCGUAGAACUGCCACUCUAAAUAGAAAGCAGCAGCAGCAGCACACCUCUCCAGCCUUCCAGCCCCCUCUUCCUCCAGUGGAGGCAGGGGGGGUCCCAGCGUCCGAGCCCUUAUCUCAAUCAGCUGUAGGGGGCUCGGAGGCUGGAGCUAUAACGGCUCAGACCCAGCAGCAAUCUGCUGAAGAGAGCAGUGUUGGGCGAGAGCCAACCUCCACACCUCCUCCCCUGAGAAAUGGCCCUGGAGGCUCCAGUGGAUCUCCUGGGCAGCUGAACAUAGGGACGCCAACAUCUGCUUCCAAGGGCCCCAGUCCACACUUGAUGCGCAGAGGUACAAAGAAACAGGCCCCUGCACCACCUAAAGUGGCUCCCAGCCCCUCUUGCUCAGCAACUACACCCUUGAAGGCCACACCCCCAUCCUCUAUACAGGUCCAAUACCAAACCCCUGUCGCGACUAUUGUCCAGCCUGUAACCUUACCUCGCCGCCAGUCCAAUAACCAGAUGCCCAUCCAUGCCCCAAGUCACCCUCCUCCUCAGCCUCCACAGAAUGCAGCAGACCCAGAGCCAUCCCCUCCCAACAGCCCCACUCCUCCUGACACCCCCCCACAUGACUCCACCCACUCUGCUUCUAUGUCCCGCCCUCGACCAGUUCCCAGACCACGGCCCAGACCCAGUGUACCACCGCCGCCCCAGCCUCCCAGUGAGAGCACUAAUGGAGUGUGUAACUCUGCUUCCAAGAUUAUCACAGGUUGAGGAUCUUAUCCUGGCCAAGAUGUGUGACCUGCCUGUGAACUAAGAGUUGAAUGGCAGGCUAUGAUGUGGCCGUGACAUUGAAGGGGUCCGGGCGGCUCCUUGUCCCGCAUAUAGCUGUGGAACAGCCUGUGACUACACCACCUGAAGCUGAGAACCAAUCAGAGAGCACCAUCUUUUAAGAAGUAGAUGAAACACCUCCUCAACACGCAGCCAAUCACUCCCUAUAUUGCUGUUUUGAGGCAGAGCGAUGCUCUGUAGACAAUCCUCGAACUCUGGGGUCUUCUGGGAAGGAGGGAGGGAGCUUUUUAGACGCUGUUACUGUUUCAACAUUUGCUGACAUAUUGAAGCUUGAGGUAAGCAAUUAAACAUGCUGUAUACUUGUACCAAUAUCACAAACUGUAACCUCUCUCUCGUGCCAGAAAGUUUCCAGUUGUUAGGCUUUAACUUUACAAUUUUUUCAUGCUUUUGAAUUGUAUUGUGAACUGCAUACAUGCGUAUUAUUACUUGAGAGUGUUUGACUGCAUAACUAAGGGAACAGCCAAAAACAGUGUGAGCUUCGUCAAUGAAGUUCUCUUUCCCUCUGAAUUCUCUGUGCUGCCUUGUGUCUGUUAUCAUUCUAUUUUAUUCCUGUCAGCCAUCUUUAUUUUAAACUUUCAGCUACUGAGAGUGCAGGAUUUCAUUUUGACUGCCUGAGAGAUAAUCGAGUGAUUUCUAAACAGACCAAAAAUCUUUUAUAGGAAACGUUUCAUAGAGAAAAACUAUGGAAAUGCAGUGUAUGGCUAAAUAUCAAGUAUUGAUUUUUAAGUACUUUUAUUCAUGUGGUGCAAUAUUGAUUGCAGUUUAGACCUCCUUCUUCUUUUUUCUUACAAAUGAGACAAUCGCAAAUUUGAUGCACAGGAAAAGAGGAAAUGGACCAAAUAUUACAGCAAUAAAUUCACACAUCUCACAUAUCAGUUAAACAUUAUUUAAAGUGGAUAUCUACACCGUGUCAGUGAUCGUUUCCAUCCGUAUGCAUUGUUUUUGCUUUAAUAAAUGACCUGAAAUGUAAGUGCAACUGCCACAAAGCUAUUUCUUAUUAUAAUGUGUCUCCUGACUCUGCUGUUCAGUACAGAUUAUUGGAUGUUUUAGGGAGAAAUGCUACACAACAUUGAUGUCUUCCAUAAAGGACCCAAUACUAAAUUCCCAGCUAGACUGAAAUGAUCUCAUUUGAUUUUGUUUGAAAUUUCUUUAUUACAUUCUGUGCUUGUAAAUUUUGGUGUUAUUUUUAAGGAUGACAGUCAAGUAUAAAUGUUGGGUGAAUAGGUGUAGAGUUCAGUUUUGCUCAGGAAAUAGCAACUCAGAAAUAUUAGUCAUUCAUCCAUUUAAUUACUGACAUCUUUUUUGUUGUUUUUUGCAGCAGGCUAAUUUUAAAUGACUUCAGAUCUUGUAAAUGUUGAUUUGUAUUUUUUGUUUCGUUUUUCUUUUUCUUUUGUACUGGGUGCACCUUUUUUUGCAGCUCUUUCCCAGCUGGUUCUGCACAUCUCUCAAAGCAAAGAUAAUCUGGUCUGUUGUACUGAUUACUGCUGUAUUUCCUAUACAGCAAGUGGAAUGACAUACAAUUACCUAAUAAAAUUCCAUUCAAUGAGAAAAAUACAA